RNAcentral lists this small RNA (28 nucleotides) under Bombyx mori (domestic silkworm). RNAcentral describes it as "ovarian small RNA-9471". The record is from RNAcentral. Lineage: Eukaryota; Metazoa; Arthropoda; Insecta; Lepidoptera; Bombycidae.
UUAUUCAUGUGUCCGUUAUUGGGUGAUC